Molecule: unclassified non-coding RNA, 345 nt
Filed under: soil metagenome
Description: partial contains 5.8S ribosomal RNA, internal transcribed spacer 2, and large subunit ribosomal RNA
Rfam family: 5.8S ribosomal RNA (bases 1-118)
Source: RNAcentral
GAUGAAGAAGUAGCGAAAUGCGAUACGUAAUGUGAAUUGCAAAUUCAGUGAAUCAUCGAGUCUUUGAACGCACAUUGCGCCCCCUGGUAUUCCGGGGGGCAUGCCUGUCCGAGCGUCAUUGCUGCCCUCAAGCACGGCUUGUGUGUUGGGCCCCGUCCUCCGAUCCCGGGGGACGGGCCCGAAAGGCAGCGGCGGCACCGCGUCCGGUCCUCGAGCGUAUGGGGCUUUGUCACCCGCUCUGUAGGCCCGGCCGGCGCUUGCCGAUCAACCCAAAUUUUUUAUCCAGGUUGACCUCGGAUCAGGUAGGGAUACCCGCUGAACUUAAGCAUAUCAAUAAGCGGAGGA